Long non-coding RNA from Gasterosteus aculeatus aculeatus (three-spined stickleback), 3427 nucleotides. The record is from Ensembl. NCBI's taxonomy places the organism in Eukaryota, Metazoa, Chordata, Actinopteri, Perciformes, Gasterosteidae.
UGUUCUUCUUUCUGCACUCCCUCCUCUUGUUGCCCUUUGACCCGCCAGUCGGUCAGUAAGAGGAGACGAGUGAACUUUCAGAAGUCAACCCUGUGAAUUCAUCGCAGAAAUAUAUAAACUGUGUAUGUUUAUUUUUGUUUGGGGGGGGGGGGGGCGAGGACAAAGCCCCCACCCCCAGUACGUGACCUUUGACCCCUCUUAAAGAACAGCACAUGCACGCUUCGGGUCAAAGAUCGACUUCCUGUCUGUGUGCGCCGUACAUUUUUUUUUUUUUUGUAAUGUCUGAUUUCUACUCGUGUGUGUGUGUGUGUGUGUGUGUGUGUGUGUGUGUGUGAGAGCUGACCUGAGGUCUGUUUUUCAGCCGUUUUGUACCUUCCCUUCAGGGGGGGAAUGACUCGGGGGGGGGGGUCACAAUGAGUCUGUUGGGUUCCUUUAGGGGGCGUCGCCGUGCUCCUCACGGCGCCAUGAAGCCGCCUCCCACUUCUUCGGUUCCGCUCUCGUUUUGUUGGUUUGUUGGAAACUUAAAAAAAAAAAUGCAUGUCUGUUUUUUUGCCACUUAGUGAGAAAAGAAAAAAGUUUAAAGAAGAAGAAAUGAAACGCUUUGUUGCUCCACAGCAGCUCGCUUUCAGAUUUGCAUCAUUUUAUCUGAAUUUUCAUUUUCGGGGCUUUAACAGGAACAUUUUCACUGAAAAAACGUAUUUUCAGUCAUGCAAGAGAUGAACUUUCUCACCAUGGGUUAUAUGGCGAAUAGUUUUCCCUAAAUAGAGGACAGAAAUAUAUAAGUACACAUUUACAUAUAAAUAUAUAUGUAAACGUGUCGGCUGCAGAAGCUGCUCAUGUAGUGAAACACGACCGGACCGAAUCCGUCAGAAACUACCAUCAUGUUCCUCUGUGGUUCUGAUGUGAUGAACCCAUCGUUUUAUUCGCUGUGCGUGUGUGUGCGUGUGUGUGCGUGUGUGUGUGUGUGUGUCCCCUCGAGGAGCUGAUGAGCUGAUCUGAGGUCAGCCGAGCGCCGCGUUUGCUCAUCACGUCUUAGAAGUAUUCUCGCUACGUUAAAGGUGUAUUUGUACUUUGCUCUAAAAAACAUUGUUAAACAAGUUUUAUUUCAGCGAUGCAACAGAUAAAUAAAGGAAAUAACUUUAUUUAGUCUGAACUUUAAGACUCUCGCUUUUAUCGCGGCUCAUAAACAUAAACGUAGUACCCAGAAUGCAUCGCUCAGCUCGCCGACCUCGGCAGGUAAAAGUUGGAUCAGCGUGUUUGGAUGAAGCCCCGAGGGGACCCAACUCCACGAGAGCAUCGAGCGGGGUGCGUUCCAUUUCAGACACGUGUCACCUUGUGCUCACACCAGUCAGCUGCUUCCUGUUCAGCUGAUAUUUGUGAUUUUUAAUUAACUGUCGAGACUAGUUUCAUUUCAAAAGAGCUUAUUUCUGAAUUUGUCAGAAGAACAUUUACAUAUUUUUUAUUUGUUUGUCAUUUUAUUAAGCAGCAAUUCCAGAAGUUGAAUCAUUAAUCAUAAUUUCAAUUUGCUACAUUUUAAUCAACAGAUGAAACGAUGAUUAAAAUAACUAAUUAUAACAACGUGAGAGGACAACAGAAGAAAAGGAAUCGAGCUGAUAUAGAUUACCAUUUAAAAUUGUGUUCAAUUCUAAGAAAAAGGUUGAAGAACCUGUGAAGGGCACUUUGAAAGAGACACAUGUCCGGAAUGGGACGCGGCCGAAGGAGACUCCACCUCUGGAGGCGUGAAGGAGACGAGUGUUCGAGGGGACGAAUGUUCAGAAUGGAACGCAGCCAAACGAAAGCAUUUUAAGGUUUUAUGAUGUUGGACUGAAGGGGGGGGGGGGUCAGGGGGGAUUCAGCAGCUGCUAGAUAAUUAAAGAUUAAGCUGUUCGUCUGUAGUGUUUCUCAUCAAUCAAUCAACUUUUUAUCUUUUAUCAUGUUGAUACGAUCUGCUCUCAUCCAGUCGCUCCGGUGUACAAACCCACUGACUUCUAACUCAUCCGCUGUGUAUUAUAGUAAAUAAAAAGCAUUUUCACUAAUGAAAAACUCUAAAACUCUCUCCAUAUGUUUCCAAAUAAAGUUUCUUUUUUUCCAACAUCUGGUGUGAAUACGGUUAUUUUUCUGCAGAGAAGCUGAUUGGCUGCAAUCUGCCGUCUCUCCAGGACUUGUUCGCUUCCAGGUCUCUGAAGCGAGUUAAAAAGAUGGUGGCCGACCCCUCUCACCCCGGACAAAAACUGUUUGUGCCCCUUCCAUCUGGCAGGAGGCUGAGGUCCAUCACUCCCCUUCACACUGCACAUGUCACUUUCACUUGUCACUUUCUGUUUGCUGGUGCACUUUCUUUUUAAUUUUGAAAUAGCUUUAACGAACUGUUAUUCCUUUAUUUUUAAACUAACCCAUAGCCUUAUAUUUUAUUUUAUUCCUCCUGCACUGUUGUCUUGUCAUCCAUUGUCGUACUGUCUGCUGUUACGCACCAACCGCCAAGUCACAUUCCUUGUGUAUCUCACAGAUUAUGGUGAUUAAUGUUUCCUGAUUCCUGAGAAACACCUCAUCAUCAGCCUGAGAUCAUCAUCUCGCAUCUACAGAGGGACGAACAUCUUUGAAGUUUUAAGGAGUCUCCAUAAACCGGUUACUCUUCAUGGACACACAGCUGGGUUCAGGAUCAGGUCCAGGUCUCUGAUGGGUCCUGGUCACACAUGUAGAACCAGAGUCAGAGAGACAUGGAGACGUUGGGACAUGGAGAAGAGUGGAGGACAGUUGGAGAUGGUCCUCUCACCUCUGAGCUGUGGUCUGGCUGUCAUGUUCCCCACACAGAGGAGCUUCAGAGGGACGGACUCCGUCCUCUGGGUCCUCAGCCUGAUUCAUAGCAGAGUCCACAGCUUCACACCUUCACACCAACCUGCUGGGAGAACUCACAUGUUCUUUAUCUUCAUCAGGACAAACACACAGAGCUCAUCCACCUCAACACUAAAACUCUCAUGGGACACUUUGUGUUGUCGUCUUGUCUGAUGAAGGACUGAAGACGCUAAAGCGACUUACGUUGUCUUUUUUAACUCUUGGUUUUAACAUUUUACAUUUUCCUCAGGGACACUUUGACAUGAGACACGGAGCAGCUGGGGUUCGAACCGCCGACCCCGCGGUGCGUUUGCUGCCGGUUUAGAGUCUCGCUGACGGUCCUCGUGUCCCUUGAUUAAAAGGACAUCAUAGUUUUAAUGCACAAGCUGCGCUCUGUGGACACGGACACGACGUUACGGCUACAUUUAAUCAUGACGUUCUGAAUGUAAAGUCCGUCCUCAAACAGACGGAACGUCUCCGGUGGACAACAUCGGUCUUCCCGGUGCUGGAGGAGUCAGCCGGUCCCGGUAAGCAGACCGUAAACCUCCCACAUCCACGGAGAAAAUCACAUUCCGUGACGUAAAUCCGGAAUUUAUAA